GACGAACGCUGGCGGCGUGCUUAACACAUGCAAGUCGAACGGAAAGGCCCUGCUUUUGUGGGGUGCUCGAGUGGCGAACGGGUGAGUAACACGUGAGUAACCUGCCCUUGACUUUGGGAUAACUUCAGGAAACUGGGGCUAAUACCGGAUAGGAGCUCCUGCUGCAUGGUGGGGGUUGGAAAGUUUCGGCGGUUGGGGAUGGACUCGCGGCUUAUCAGCUUGUUGGGGGGGUAGGGGCUUACCAAGGCUUUGACGGGUAGCCGGCCUGAGAGGGUGACCGGACACAUUGGGCCUGAGAUACGGCCCAGACUCCUACGGGAGGCAGCAGUGGGGAAUAUUGCACAAUGGGCGGAAGCCUGAUGAAGAAACGCAGGGUGCGGGAUAACGGCCUUCGGGUUGUAAACCGCUUUCGCAUGUGACGAAGCGUGAGUGACGGUAAUGAGUAAAGAAGCACCGGCUAACUACGUG
RNAcentral lists this ribosomal RNA (468 nucleotides) under uncultured bacterium. RNAcentral describes it as "partial 16S ribosomal RNA". It matches the Rfam family "Bacterial small subunit ribosomal RNA", at positions 28 to 507 of the family's 1533-position model. The record is from RNAcentral.